GACGAACGCUGGCGGCGUGCCUAAUACAUGCAAGUCGAACGCUUCUUUCCUCCCGAGUGCUUGCCCUCAAUUGGAAAGAGGAGUGGCGGACGGGUGAGUAACACGUGGGUAACCUACCCAUCAGAGGGGGAUAACACUUGGAAACAGGUGCUAAUACCGCAUAACAGUUUAUGCCGCAUGGCAUAAGAGUGAAAGGCGCUUUCGGGUGUCGCUGAUGGAUGGACCCGCGGUGCAUUAGCUAGUUGGUGAGGUAACGGCUCACCAAGGCCACGAUGCAUAGCCGACCUGAGAGGGUGAUCGGCCACACUGGGACUGAGACACGGCCCAGACUCCUACGGGAGGCAGCAGUAGGGAAUCUUCGGCAAUGGACGAAAGUCUGACCGAGCAACGCCGCGUGAGUGAAGAAGGUUUUCGGAUCGUAAAACUCUGUUGUUAGAGAAGAACAAGGACGUUAGUAACUGAACGUCCCCUGACGGUAUCUAAACAGAAAGCCACGGCUAACUACGUG
RNAcentral lists this ribosomal RNA (508 nucleotides) under uncultured bacterium. RNAcentral describes it as "partial 16S ribosomal RNA". It matches the Rfam family "Bacterial small subunit ribosomal RNA", at positions 28 to 507 of the family's 1533-position model. The record is from RNAcentral.